RNAcentral lists this ribosomal RNA (253 nucleotides) under uncultured bacterium. Its description in RNAcentral is "partial 16S ribosomal RNA". It matches the Rfam family "Bacterial small subunit ribosomal RNA", at positions 524 to 776 of the family's 1533-position model. The record is from RNAcentral.
UACGUAGGGUGCGAGCGUUGUCCGGAAUUAUUGGGCGUAAAGGGCUCGUAGGCGGUUUGUCGCGUCGGGAGUGAAAACCAGGUGCUUAACACCUGGCUUGCUUUCGAUACGGGCAGACUAGAGGUAUGCAGGGGAGAACGGAAUUCCUGGUGUAGCGGUGAAAUGCGCAGAUAUCAGGAGGAACACCGGUGGCGAAGGCGGUUCUCUGGGCAUGACCUGACGCUGAGGAGCGAAAGCGUGGGGAGCGAACAGG